Molecule: ribosomal RNA, 1409 nt
Filed under: Salmonella enterica
Lineage: Bacteria; Pseudomonadati; Pseudomonadota; Gammaproteobacteria; Enterobacterales; Enterobacteriaceae
Also listed under: 1 other name
Description: partial 23S ribosomal RNA
Rfam family: Bacterial large subunit ribosomal RNA
Source: RNAcentral
GUAGUCGAUGGGAAACGGGUUAAUAUUCCCGUACUUGGUGUUACUGCGAAGGGGGGACGGAGAAGGCUAUGUUGGCCGGGCGACGGUUGUCCCGGUUUAAGCGUGUAGGUGUGUGUUCCAGGUAAAUCCGGUUCACUUUAACACUGAGGCGUGACGACGAGGCACUACGGUGCUGAAGCAACAAAUGCCCUGCUUCCAGGAAAAGCCUCUAAGCAUCAGGUAACAUCAAAUCGUACCCCAAACCGACACAGGUGGUCAGGUAGAGAAUACCAAGGCGCUUGAGAGAACUCGGGUGAAGGAACUAGGCAAAAUGGUGCCGUAACUUCGGGAGAAGGCACGCUGACACGUAGGUGAAGUGAUUUACUCAUGGAGCUGAAGUCAGUCGAAGAUACCAGCUGGCUGCAACUGUUUAUUAAAAACACAGCACUGUGCAAACACGAAAGUGGACGUAUACGGUGUGACGCCUGCCCGGUGCCGGAAGGUUAAUUGAUGGGGUCAGCGCAAGCGAAGCUCCUGAUCGAAGCCCCGGUAAACGGCGGCCGUAACUAUAACGGUCCUAAGGUAGCGAAAUUCCUUGUCGGGUAAGUUCCGACCUGCACGAAUGGCGUAAUGAUGGCCAGGCUGUCUCCACCCGAGACUCAGUGAAAUUGAACUCGCUGUGAAGAUGCAGUGUACCCGCGGCAAGACGGAAAGACCCCGUGAACCUUUACUAUAGCUUGACACUGAACAUUGAGCCUUGAUGUGUAGGAUAGGUGGGAGGCUUUGAAGUGUGGACGCCAGUCUGCAUGGAGCCGACCUUGAAAUACCACCCUUUAAUGUUUGAUGUUCUAACGUGGACCCGUUACCCGGGUUGCGGACAGUGUCUGGUGGGUAGUUUGACUGGGGCGGUCUCCUCCUAAAGAGUAACGGAGGAGCACGAAGGUUGGCUAAUCCUGGUCGGACAUCAGGAGGUUAGUGCAAUGGCAUAAGCCAGCUUGACUGCGAGCGUGACGGCGCGAGCAGGUGCGAAAGCAGGUCAUAGUGAUCCGGUGGUUCUGAAUGGAAGGGCCAUCGCUCAACGGAUAAAAGGUACUCCGGGGAUAACAGGCUGAUACCGCCCAAGAGUUCAUAUCGACGGCGGUGUUUGGCACCUCGAUGUCGGCUCAUCACAUCCUGGGGCUGAAGUAGGUCCCAAGGGUAUGGCUGUUCGCCAUUUAAAGUGGUACGCGAGCUGGGUUUAGAACGUCGUGAGACAGUUCGGUCCCUAUCUGCCGUGGGCGCUGGAGAACUGAGGGGGGCUGCUCCUAGUACGAGAGGACCGGAGUGGACGCAUCACUGGUGUUCGGGUUGUCAUGCCAAUGGCACUGCCCGGUAGCUAAAUGCGGAAGAGAUAAGUGCUGAAAGCAUCUAAGCACGAAACUUGCCCCGAG